RNAcentral lists this signal recognition particle RNA (288 nucleotides) under Carlito syrichta (Philippine tarsier). RNAcentral describes it as "Metazoan signal recognition particle RNA (ENSTSYG00000030379.1)". It matches the Rfam family "Metazoan signal recognition particle RNA". Rfam says of the family: The signal recognition particle (SRP) is a universally conserved ribonucleoprotein. Lineage: Eukaryota; Metazoa; Chordata; Mammalia; Primates; Tarsiidae. The record is from RNAcentral.
GCCGGGCAUGGUGGUGCGUGCCUGUAGUCCCAGCUACUCAGGAGACUGAGGCAGGAGGACCACUGGAACCCGGGAGUUCUGGGCUGUCGUGCACUACACUGACUGGACGUGUGCACUAAGCAUCGAUAUGGGGAACCUCUGGAGCGAGGGACCACAGAGGGCCAAAGGCAGGGUGAAGGCCCAGGCCAGAAAGGAGCGGGCCAAAACUCCCGUGAUCAUCAGUAGUGGGAUCGUGCCUGUGAACAGCCACUGCACUCCAGCCUGGCAGCAUGGUGAGACUCUGUUUCC